This 253-nucleotide ribosomal RNA is filed under the name uncultured bacterium. RNAcentral's name for it is "partial 16S ribosomal RNA". It matches the Rfam family "Bacterial small subunit ribosomal RNA", at positions 524 to 776 of the family's 1533-position model. The record is from RNAcentral.
UACGUAGGGGGCAAGCGUUGUCCGGAUUUAUUGGGCGUAAAGCGCUCGCAGGUGGUCCGUUGCGUCGUGCGUGAAAGACCCCGGCUCAACCACGGGCCUGCAUCCGAUACUGGCGGGCUCGAGGCAGGCAGGGGAGAUCGGAAUUCCUGGUGUAGCGGUGAAAUGCGCAGAUAUCAGGAGGAACACCGGUGGCGAAGGCGGAUCUCUGGGCCUGUCCUGACGCUCAGGCGCGAAAGCUAGGGGAGCAAACAGG